This 254-nucleotide ribosomal RNA is filed under the name uncultured bacterium. RNAcentral's name for it is "partial 16S ribosomal RNA". It matches the Rfam family "Bacterial small subunit ribosomal RNA", at positions 524 to 776 of the family's 1533-position model. The record is from RNAcentral.
UACGUAGGGGGCAAGCGUUGUCCGGAUUUAUUGGGCGUAAAGAGCUCGUAGGCGGUUUGGUAAGUCUGGUGUGAAAUCUCCACGCUCAACGUGGAGGGGCCACCCGAUACUGCCAUGACUGGAGUCCGGUAGAGGAGUGUGGAAUUCCCGGUGUAGCGGUGAAAUGCGCAGAUAUCGGGAGGAACACCUGUGGCGAAGGCGGCUCACUGGACCAGAACUGACGCUGAGGCGCGAAAGCGAGGGGAGCAAACAGG